CUCAUGAUGGACAAUCUCCAAAAAAGACGAUGAUCCUCAAUAUCCACGUAAUGGGUAACCACCUCUUCAUCCAUUGUGCUUUUGCUAAGGCUAUAUGGAACGAAUUUCUUGUCUAUCUCAAAUGCAUUGGGUGAUGCUAGAAACCAUUGGCGAGCUGUUUCUAGCCUGGCAUGAUGGAAUCAUGUUCAAAGCGGAAGGGAAACGUUGGAGAGUAUCUCUUCUAGCUGGUCUAUGGGUAGAGAGGAAUGAGAGAUGUUUCUGAAACAGUGACAAGCAGCCUGAGCCGGUAUCUUGUUAAGCUUACUCAAAUGUCGAGUUUUGGGUAGAUUGCCUCUAAUUUUAAGUUGGCUGUGUUGGGCCGUUGGUCAUUUUUGGCUUCUUCUUUUUUUCCCUUUUGUCUUCUCUUCAGUGUAGAUUUCUCGACUCUAUCUUGUCAAUAAAAUCAUCACCUUAAAAAAAAUAAUAAUAAUAAUAAAAGGAAAAAAAUAAUAGUAAGUUUUUUGACUUCCAAGUUCUAAAGCUAAAAGCCUCAAACAAUUGGUUUUCGCCCAUUGUGGAACAUUCCCUACUGCUGCCUUCCGUAAGAUUUGUUCAUUUGGAAUUUGGGUUUAGGAAAAAAAAAAAAAAAGAAGGAAAAAAUAAUAAUAAGUUUUCAACUUCCAAGUUCUAAAGCUAAAUGCCCCAAACAAUUCAAAGGGAAGCACACAAAUAUCAAUGUACGUCAAAUUUUCCAUGAAUGUCAAAUUGUUUUGACAUCUUUAUCUCCAUUAUAACCAUCAUUGUUGGUGUUGUCAUGCAUAGUAUAUUUCAUAGAUAAAAAAAACUAAAA
Long non-coding RNA from Magnolia sinica, 829 nucleotides. RefSeq lists it as uncharacterized. The record is from RefSeq and is a predicted model, not a curated record. The transcript is spliced from 2 exons. NCBI's taxonomy places the organism in Eukaryota, Viridiplantae, Streptophyta, Magnoliopsida, Magnoliales, Magnoliaceae.